This 473-nucleotide ribosomal RNA is filed under the name uncultured bacterium. Its description in RNAcentral is "bacterial SSU rRNA". It matches the Rfam family "Bacterial small subunit ribosomal RNA", at positions 355 to 825 of the family's 1533-position model. The record is from RNAcentral.
UGGGGAAGUAUUGCGCAAUGGGCGAAAGCCUGACGCAGCAACGCCGCGUGAGUGAUGAAGGCCUUCGGGUCGUAAAGCUCUGUCGGAGGGAACGAAUGCUCCUGAAGUUAACAGCUUGAAGCCUGACUUAACCCGGAGAGGAAGCAGUGGCUAACUCUGUGCCAGCAGCCGCGGUAAUACAGAGACUGCAAGCGUUAUUCGGAUUCACUGGGCGUAAAGGGUGCGCAGGCGGCCGGGUGUGUCAGAUGUGAAAUCCCGAGGCUUAACCUCGGAACUGCGUCUGAAACUACUCGGCUAGAGUAUUGGAGAGGGUAACGGAAUUCACGGUGUAGCAGUGAAAUGCGUAGAUAUCGUGAGGAACACCAGAGGCGAAGGCGGUUACCUGGACAAUUACUGACGCUCAGGCACGAAAGCAUGGGGAGCAAAAGGGAUUAGAUACCCCAGUAGUCCCUGAGCGGGCUGGCAAGGCGCAU